This 590-nucleotide ribosomal RNA is filed under the name Bacillus sp. (in: firmicutes). Its description in RNAcentral is "bacterial SSU rRNA". It matches the Rfam family "Bacterial small subunit ribosomal RNA", at positions 45 to 619 of the family's 1533-position model. The record is from RNAcentral. Lineage: Bacteria; Bacillati; Bacillota; Bacilli; Caryophanales; Bacillaceae.
UGCUAUACUGCAGUCGAGCGAAUGGAUUAAGAGCUUGCUCUUAUGAAGUUAGCGGCGGACGGGUGAGUAACACGUGGGUAACCUGCCCAUAAGACUGGGAUAACUCCGGGAAACCGGGGCUAAUACCGGAUAACAUUUUGAACCGCAUGGUUCGAAAUUGAAAGGCGGCUUCGGCUGUCACUUAUGGAUGGACCCGCGUCGCAUUAGCUAGUUGGUGAGGUAACGGCUCACCAAGGCAACGAUGCGUAGCCGACCUGAGAGGGUGAUCGGCCACACUGGGACUGAGACACGGCCCAGACUCCUACGGGAGGCAGCAGUAGGGAAUCUUCCGCAAUGGACGAAAGUCUGACGGAGCAACGCCGCGUGAGUGAUGAAGGCUUUCGGGUCGUAAAACUCUGUUGUUAGGGAAGAACAAGUGCUAGUUGAAUAAGCUGGCACCUUGACGGUACCUAACCAGAAAGCCACGGCUAACUACGUGCCACCACCCGCGGUAAUACGUAGGUGGCAAGCGUUAUCCGGGAAUUAUUGGGCGUAAAGCGCGCGCAGGUGGUUUCUUAACUCUGAUGUGAAACCCCACCGCUCACCGUGGA